GAUGAACGCUAGCUACAGGCUUAACACAUGCAAGUCGCGGGGCAGCAUCGUGGUUGCUUGCGACCCCUGAUGGCGACCGGCGCACGGGUGAGUAACGCGUCUCCACCCUGCCCUUCACCACGCGAUAACCCGGCGAAAGUCGGACUAAUACCGUAUGUUGUCCAUUGACGGCAUCCGAUAUGGUCGAAACGCUUGGCGAUGGACGCAUGGGGAUGCGUCCGAUUAGCUUGACGGUGGUGUACCGGCUCACCGGGGCUACGAUCGGUAGGGGUUCUGAGCGGAAGGUGCCUCACACGGGAACUGAGACACUGUCCAGACACAUACGGGAGGCAGCAGUGAGGAAUAUUGGUCAAUGGGCGUAAGCCUGAACCAGCCAAGUAGCGUGCAGGAUGACGGCCCUAUGGGUGGUAGACUGCUGUUAUGCGGGGAUAAAGUGGUGUGCGGGUGGGCGUGUGCAGGUACCGCAUGAAUAAGGACCGGCUAAUUCCGUG
This 491-nucleotide ribosomal RNA is filed under the name uncultured bacterium. Its description in RNAcentral is "partial 16S ribosomal RNA". It matches the Rfam family "Bacterial small subunit ribosomal RNA", at positions 28 to 507 of the family's 1533-position model. The record is from RNAcentral.